GACGAACGCUGGCGGCGCGCCUAACACAUGCAAGUCGAACGAGAGAUGAAGAGCUUGCUCUUCAAAUCGAGUGGCGAACGGGUGAGUAACGCGUGAGGAACCUGCCUCAAAGAGGGGGACAACAGUUGGAAACGACUGCUAAUACCGCAUAAGCCCACGGCCCGGCAUCGGGCUGCGGGAAAAGGAUUUAUUCGCUUCAGGAUGGACUCGCGUCCAAUUAGCUAGUUGGUGAGGUAACGGCCCACCAAGGCGACGAUUGGUAGCCGGACUGAGAGGUUGAACGGCCACAUUGGGACUGAGACACGGCCCAGACUCCUACGGGAGGCAGCAGUGGGGGAUAUUGCACAAUGGGGGAAACCCUGAUGCAGCGACGCCGCGUGGAGGAAGAAGGUUUUCGGAUUGUAAACUCCUGUCGUUAGGGACGAUAAUGACGGUAC
Molecule: ribosomal RNA, 437 nt
Filed under: uncultured bacterium
Lineage: Bacteria
Description: bacterial SSU rRNA
Rfam family: Bacterial small subunit ribosomal RNA
Source: RNAcentral